Molecule: ribosomal RNA, 301 nt
Filed under: uncultured bacterium
Lineage: Bacteria
Description: partial 16S ribosomal RNA
Rfam family: Bacterial small subunit ribosomal RNA
Source: RNAcentral
CAGUCGCCGCGGUAAUACGGAGGGUGCGAGCGUUAAUCGGAAUCACUGGGCGUAAAGAGUUCGUAGGCGGUUUGUUAAGUCGAAUGUGAAAGCCCUGGGCUCAAUCCAGGAAGUGCAUUCGAUACUGGCAAGCUGGAGUGCAAGAGAGGAAGGCGGAAUUCCAGGUGUAGAGGUGAAAUUCGUAGAUAUCUGGAGGAACAACAGAGGCGAAGGCGGCCUUCUGGACUGUCACUGACGCUGAGGAACGAAAGCGUGGGGAGCAAACAGGAUUAGAUACCCCAGUAGUCCCUGUCUCUUAUAC